RNAcentral lists this long non-coding RNA (3429 nucleotides) under Pongo abelii (Sumatran orangutan). RNAcentral describes it as "lincRNA". The record is from RNAcentral. Lineage: Eukaryota; Metazoa; Chordata; Mammalia; Primates; Hominidae.
UGUAGAGCUAUGUUACAUUAAAUGGCAAAAGUGACUUUGUAGAGGUGUCAUUUAUCCAGAUGCUGCAUGAUUAAGACCACCAUACUCUUAUCAAGCAUACAGGUGUCAAUGUCUAUUUUAAACAGGAGAGAACUCAAGAAGUUCUGUAGAAACUGCUUUCUUUGUCAUAUCUCAAAGAAUUUGCUGAGGAUUUCAGAGCUGCCAUGAGUUGAGAGAAGACUUCGGACAUUUCACUUAACACUGAAUAUUCACUCUACUGCCACUACUCAGGACUUUUGAUGGGCAUGAAAAUCCAAGCCUGCUUUAUGAUAUUAACCUCUGAAGCUCAUAAAUUGCUUAAAACUUUAGAAUGUCCAGAAAACACUGGUAGAAUAUGGACACAUGAGACAAGGCCAGCAAGGAAGUCAAUAAAAUGUUAUUACUAAGCAAAUCACCACCAGAAAAGCAGAAGGAAAUCCAGGAAAUCCCACUUCAAUAUUGUGAAAGACAGUAAAGAACAUUCCCUGGAGUUAGGACAAAUGAAGAGCAAGAAGUUUCAUCUUGCUCUGUCAUCCAGGCUGGAGUGCAGUGGCACCAUCUCGGCUCACUGAAACCUCCACUUCCCGGGUUCAAGCAAUUCUCCUGCCUCAGCCUCCUCAGUAACUGGGGUUACAGAGUGAAUAGACAACUUACAGAAUGGGAGAAAAUACUUGCAAGCUAUGUAUCCAACAAAGGACUAAUAUCGAGAAUUUACAAAGAAUUAAAACAAAACUCAACAAGAGUAAAACAACCCCAAUAAAAGGCAAAUUGAACACAUUUGGAAAUAUUGGAUCAGCAUUGCAGCCAUACCCUUUAGACAGGACACACACUUUCCAGUUCUCCUUGACAGAGAGGCUGAAGCUGCUUAUGUGUCUGGAAUUGGUGGGUUCUUGGUCUCACUGACUUCAAGAAUGAAGCCGCGGACCCUCGCGUGAAGCAAUACAGGCAUUCAUGUCUGGGCAAAAGGAAUAAGUGGACUACAUGCAGAGGCAGAGUGAGGCUGGAAUGUGUAUACAACCCAAGCUAUCUAUGUAGAUUUUUUGUUGCUUUUUGAGUUUUUUUUUUUUUUUGCUUAUUCUGAUUCUAAUUGUACAAAUCAAUAAUAAAAAUGUUAAAAAUAGGCUGUUAAAAUAUUCAUGACUAUGCAAAUGCUUCAAAUAUAGUUAUUUAAAGUUUCUUUCUUUUUAAAAUUGGGACAAGGUCUUGCUCUUUAACCCAAAGCUGGGUGGCAUAGGUGAAAGAGCAAGACCAAGGCAUGACCAAGGCUCACUGCAGCCUUGACCUCCUGAUCUCGUUAUCCUCCCACUUCAGCCUCCCAAGUAGCUGGGUAAAGGCAUGCACCACAGUGCCCAGCUAAUAUUUUAAUUUUUUUUUGUAGAGACAUGGUCUUGCCCGGUUGCCCAGGCUGGUCUUGAAUUCCUGAGUUCAAGUGAUCCUUGCUUCUCAGGCUCCCUAAGUGCUGAGAUUACACGUGUGGGUCCCCAGCCAAAAAAAUCUUCCUAGGGAAACCCUCACAUUUUCAAGGGUUUUACCUUUGGUACCUCCAUAAAUUUGUAUCAAGCAACAAAAUGUACUGUCAAGCAACAAAAAAUAUAAAGGGACCUUAAAUGCAUAUUUCUAAGACCAAGAAGCUAGUCUGAAAUGGCUACAUACUAUAUAAUCCUAUAUGACUCCUAUGUGAAAGAUAAACAUUCUGGAAAAGGCACAACUAUAGAGUAAAAAGAUCAAUGGUUGCUUGGGUUUGGUAUGCAUGUGUGUUAGGGGGCAGGGUGGCUGUCGAGAGGAAUACAUAGGUGAAGCACAAGUGAUUUUUAUGGCACUGCAACUGUUCUGCAUUAUACCAUAAUAAUAAUAAAUGACAUUUUUCAUUUGUCAAAACACGUAGAAUGUACAAGAGAAAGAGUAGAGCUUAAUGUAAAUUAUAAACUGUAGUUACUAUUGAUAUGUAAAUAUUGGUGUUUUAAUUGUAUCAAGUGCACCACACCAGUGAAAGAUGUUAGUAAUAGGACAAAUGUAUACCAGCUUGGGAGGUUAUAUGGCAAUUUCUGUACUAUCUGCUCUUGUUUUUAUUGUAAAUUUAAAACUAUGCUAAAAUAAAAUUUAUUAGUUUAAUUUUCAAGAGAUUAAGAAUGUAUGUUUAAAUGUCAUAAUACAUAUGCAGAGCUUUAUGCAUAUCCAUAUACUUCAAGCCAAAUCUACUUUUGGUGAAUUCGUCUCUUUAUAAAACACACAGAAAUAGGAAGAAAAGUAAUUGAGAAAUAUUUACUAUGAAAUAACUUUAUAAGCUGUAAAUUGAAAGCACAUACAUAUAUUUUAAAAAGGCAUUUAUAUACUUAAGCAAAUUAUUUUCCAAAUACAGAAUAUUAGCCAGCCAACAAAUAAUGUUUAAGAAAGUUUUUAAUUUUCUGAGACAAUACGUAUGAUAAAAUAUUAAGUAAAGAACAACUUUGUUGUAAUGUGAUAUACAACAUUACAUAAAUAAAAAAAAUCUAGAUUAAUGUGUAGUCAGUAAGAAUUGCCAUGAAACAUUGUGAAACUGAUAUGUGAAAUUUAUUGUUUUAAAGCCCCUUAUAACUAAUAUUCUAUUUUUCCAUAUAAUCCUAUUAAUGUAUAAAUAAAAUCUUCUAUUUACCAAGUGGAUAUUAAAUCAAAAUAAUGUAAAUUAACAUCCACAAAUCAUAACUUUUCUUAAUGUUUACUCUUUAAGAAUACAUAGUAGUUGCACAUAUUUAAGGCAUACAUGUGACAUUUUGAUAUGUGUGUAUCAUGUGUAAUGAUCAAAUCAGAGUAAUUGGGAUAUCCAUCAUCUGAAACAUUUAUCAUAGCUUUAAAGGGCCAAAGCCAGGAUUUAACUCUCUUAGAAUCCAAAGUCCUUGUUCUUAGAAAUAUUAGUUAAAAUAAUGACAAUGUUUGCCUCUGGGUUAUGCUAUUAUGAGGAAUUUAAUAUUUUUAAAGCAGAAACUGAAAUUUUUAUAAUAGGAAGAUAUUUAAUAAAUAUGGAAAUGUAUAACUGAUUUUUUCUCCUAUGUCAUUAUCGUUGAAAGAAAAUCUUCAUAUCUUAUGUAAAUAUAUUCUAGAUUAUUGGAUAGAUUUUAUAAUUUCUAAUUAUAAAUUAAAAUUUUGUUUUAUAUUAUCUUUGGUGGUGAAAAAUAUGCUCACCAAACUGACAGGCAAAUGUAAUGUAAUGCUAAUUGCUUAAUUGAUUAUUACUAGGAGUCCACAAUUUUCAGUGCUUUUCUUCCUAUUUCUGUGUAUUUUAUAAAGAGAAAAAUUCACCAAAAAUCAAUUUGGCUUGAAGUAUGUGGAUACACAUAUAGCUCUGCAUGUGUAUUAUUACAUUUAAACACACAUUCUUAAUCUCUUGGAAAUUAAACUAAUAAACUUUAUUUGAGCACAAUUUCAAAUAUAAAA